This 305-nucleotide ribosomal RNA is filed under the name uncultured bacterium. RNAcentral describes it as "bacterial SSU rRNA". It matches the Rfam family "Bacterial small subunit ribosomal RNA", at positions 333 to 655 of the family's 1533-position model. The record is from RNAcentral.
AGUUGCCUACGGGACGCAGCAGUGGGGAAUAUUGCACAAUGGGGGAAACCCUGAUGCAGCGACGCCGCGUGAGCGAAGAAGUAUUUCGGUAUGUAAAGCUCUAUCAGCAGGGAAGAAAAAUGACGGUACCUGAGUAAGAAGCACCGGCUAAAUACGUGCCAGCAGCCGCGGUAAUACGUAUGGUGCAAGCGUUAUCCGGAUUUAUUGGGUUUAAAGGGUGCGUAGGCGGAAGGUUAAGUCAGCGGUCAAAUGUCGGUGCUCAACACCGGCCUGCCGUUGAAACUGGUCUUCUUGAGUGAGCGAGA